This 227-nucleotide ribosomal RNA is filed under the name uncultured Pseudomonas sp. RNAcentral's name for it is "partial 16S ribosomal RNA". It matches the Rfam family "Bacterial small subunit ribosomal RNA", at positions 1154 to 1382 of the family's 1533-position model. Lineage: Bacteria; Pseudomonadati; Pseudomonadota; Gammaproteobacteria; Pseudomonadales; Pseudomonadaceae. The record is from RNAcentral.
GUUGCAAACGGAGGAAGGUGGGGAUGACGUCAAAUCAUCAUGCCCUUAUGUUCUGGGCUACACACGUGCUACAAUGGCCGGUACAGACGGACGCAAAGCCGCGAGGUGGAGCAAAUCCUAAAAAGACCGGUCUCAGUUCGGAUUGCAGGCUGCAACUCGACUGCGUGAAGUCGGAAUCGCUAGUAAUCGUGAAUCAGAAUGUCACGGUGAAUACGUUCCCGGGCCUU